This 65-nucleotide transfer RNA is filed under the name Lepas anserifera. Its description in RNAcentral is "tRNA-Met". Lineage: Eukaryota; Metazoa; Arthropoda; Thecostraca; Lepadidae. The record is from RNAcentral.
AAAAAGGUAAGCUAAGUAAAGCUUUUGGGCUCAUACCCCAACUAUAGUAGUCGUACUCCUUUUUA